AAACGGAUUGUGUUUGUCGCUGUUGUACCUUCGGGUGCGAGAGAGGAAAGUCGGGACAUCAUAGAGCGCCAUACUUCCUAACGGGAAGGGGGCAAAAGGCGUAAAGUCUUUGUUCACAGCAAGUGCCACAGAAAAUAACCGUCCUGCUUUUGCAGGAUAAGGGUGAAAAUGUGAGGUAAGAGCUCACACCAACGUAUGGCAACAUGCGCUGGGGGUAAACCUUAUGGGAUGAGAGACUAAAUAUACUGGAUAUACUUUCGAGUAAGUGAGUUGCUCGCUCAAAUGCCAGGGGGUUAGUCGAUAGAACCUGCGGGUGACUUCAGGUAUAGAUAAAUGACAGACUAAGUUCAGCAAUGAACCCAAACAGAAUCCCGCUUAUGCAAUCCGUUUUUUU
Molecule: RNase P RNA, 394 nt
Filed under: Bacteroidetes bacterium CG2_30_33_31
Lineage: Bacteria; Pseudomonadati; Bacteroidota
Description: RNase P RNA component class A
Rfam family: Bacterial RNase P class A
About the family: Ribonuclease P (RNase P) is a ubiquitous endoribonuclease, found in archaea, bacteria and eukarya as well as chloroplasts and mitochondria. Its best characterised activity is the generation of mature 5'-ends of tRNAs by cleaving the 5'-leader elements of precursor-tRNAs. Cellular RNase Ps are ribonucleoproteins.
Source: RNAcentral